UUAUCCCGAUUAUUGGGUUUAAAGGGAGCGUAGGCGGACGUUUAAGUCAGUUGUGAAAGUUUGCGGCUCACCGUAAAAUUGCAGUUGAUACUGGGUGUCUUGAGUACAGUAGAGGCAGGCGGAAUUCGUGGUGUAGCGGUGAAAUGCUUAGAUAUCACGAAGAACUCCGAUUGCGAAGGCAGCUUGCUGGACUGUAACUGACGCUGAUGCUCGAAAGUGUGGGUAUCAAACAGGAUUAGAUACCCUGGUAGUCCACACAGUAAACGAUGAAUACUCGCUGUUUGCGAUAUACAGUAAGCGGCCAAGCGAAAGCGUUAAGUAUUCCACCUGGGGAGUACGCCGGCAACGGUGAAACUCAAAGGAAUUGACGGGGGCCCGCACAAGCGGAGGAACAUGUGGUUUAAUUC
Molecule: ribosomal RNA, 407 nt
Filed under: uncultured bacterium
Lineage: Bacteria
Description: bacterial SSU rRNA
Rfam family: Bacterial small subunit ribosomal RNA
Source: RNAcentral